This 224-nucleotide long non-coding RNA is filed under the name Mytilus galloprovincialis (Mediterranean mussel). The record is from RNAcentral. Lineage: Eukaryota; Metazoa; Mollusca; Bivalvia; Mytilida; Mytilidae.
CGGGCUUAAUAAACAAUAAUAUACUAGUAUUAAAAAAUAGGCGGUAUUUGUUUUAACACCUAGGGUAUUUUCUAUUUCAUUUGGAACAAAGUGUUUGAUUUGUGCAAAACAUGGAAUUUCUUUAGCGCCAAUAAUAUUGGUAAACUAUAUAAAUAAAAGGUAUGAUUUCAAAUGAGACUUUUGAUAAUAAAAAUAAAACACAGUAUACAUCUGCUCAAUUUUCG